AGAAGAAGGUGUCGUCUGUCG
Molecule: non-coding RNA, 21 nt
Filed under: Arabidopsis thaliana (thale cress)
Lineage: Eukaryota; Viridiplantae; Streptophyta; Magnoliopsida; Brassicales; Brassicaceae
Source: RNAcentral